GGAACUGCCAUCGAAACUUUUCAGCUAGAGUUUGAUAGAGGAAAGUAGAAUUUCUAGUGUAGAGGUGAAAUUCGUAGAUAUUAGAAAGAAUACCAAUUGCGAGGGCAGCUUUCUGGAUCAUUACUGACACUGAGGAACGAAAGCAUGGGUAGCGAAGAGGAUUAGAUACCCUCGUAGUCCAUGCCGUAAACGAUGUGUGUUAGACGUUGGAAAUUUAUUUUCAGUGUCGCAGCGAAAGCAAUAAACACACCGCCUGGGGAGUACGACCGCAAGGUUAAAACUCAAAUGAAUUGACGGGGACCCGCACAAGUAGUGGAGCAUGUGGUUUAAUUCGAAGAUACGCGCAGAACCUUACCAACACUUGACAUGUUCGUCGCGACUUCAAGAGAUUGAAGUUUUCGGUUCGGCCGGACGAAACACAGGUGCUGCAUGGCUGUCGUCAGCUCGUGUAGUGAGAUGUUGGGUUAAGUCCCGCAACGAGCGCAACCCUUACUUUUAGUUGCCAUCAUUAAGUUGGGCACUCUGAAAGAACUGCCAGUGAUAAGCUGGAGGAAGGUGGGGAUGACGUCAAGUCCUCAUGGCCCUUACGUGUUGGGCUACACACGUGCUGCAAUGGUAUUUACAAUAGGAAGCAAAACGGCAACGUUAAGCAAAUCCUUAAAAAAUACCUCAGUUCGGAUUGCACUCUGCAACUCGAGUGCAUGAAGCUGGAAUUACUAGUAAUCGUGGAUCAGCGUGCCACGGUGAAUGCGUUCCCGGGUCUUGUACACACCGCCCGUCACACCAUGGGAGUUGGUUCUACCUUAAGGCAAGGUUUUAAACCCUUGACCACGGUAUAGUCAGCGACUGGGGUGAAGUCGUAACAAGGUAAC
This 872-nucleotide ribosomal RNA is filed under the name uncultured Alphaproteobacteria bacterium. RNAcentral's name for it is "bacterial SSU rRNA". It matches the Rfam family "Bacterial small subunit ribosomal RNA", at positions 617 to 1500 of the family's 1533-position model. Lineage: Bacteria; Pseudomonadati; Pseudomonadota; Alphaproteobacteria. The record is from RNAcentral.